This 253-nucleotide ribosomal RNA is filed under the name uncultured bacterium. RNAcentral describes it as "partial 16S ribosomal RNA". It matches the Rfam family "Bacterial small subunit ribosomal RNA", at positions 524 to 776 of the family's 1533-position model. The record is from RNAcentral.
UACGAAGGGGGCUAGCGUUGUUCGGAUUUACUGGGCGUAAAGCGCACGUAGGCGGAUUGUUAAGUCGGUGGUGAAAUCCUGGAGCUCAACUCCAGAACUGCCUUCGAUACUGGGAGCUCGAGUCCGGGAGAGGUGAGUGGAACUGCGAGUGUAGAGGUGAAAUUCGUAGAUAUUCGGCAAGAACACCAGUGGCGAAGGCGGCUCACUGGCCCGGUACUGACGCUGAGGUGCGAAAGCGUGGGGAGCAAACAGG